Molecule: ribosomal RNA, 776 nt
Filed under: uncultured Neocallimastigales
Lineage: Eukaryota; Fungi; Neocallimastigomycota; Neocallimastigomycetes; Neocallimastigales
Description: partial large subunit ribosomal RNA
Rfam family: Eukaryotic large subunit ribosomal RNA
Source: RNAcentral
UAGAUGCGAGAGUAGAGCAUAUCAAUAAGCGGAGGAAAAGAAACUAACAAGGAUUCCCCUAGUAACGGCGAGUGAAGCGGGAGGAGCUCAAAUUUGAAAUCUUCAAGGUUUGACCUUGACGAAUUGUAGUUUAAAGAAGUGUUUUCGGUUAGAGGAGUAGUAAAAGUUCUUUGGAAUAGGACAUCAUAGAGGGUGUGAAUCCCGUAUUUGACUAUUCUUUCUAGCUUUGUGAUACACUUUCAAAGAGUCGGAUUGUUUGGGAAUGCAGUCCAAAAUGGGUGGUAAAUUUCAUCUAAAGCUAAAUAUUGGCGAGAGACCGAUAGCGAACAAGUACCGUGAGGGAAAGAUGAAAAGAACUUUGAAAAGAGAGUUAAACAGUACGUGAAAUUGUCAAAAGGGAAGCGUUUGACACCAGUGUUGUUUAGUUGAAAAUCAAUUCAAUAAUUUUUGAUUUUGAGUAGUAUUGACUUCAUCAGCUUGCUGCUUUCUUUUCCGAAAUUAUUGAAUGCACUUUUCAGUUAACAAGUCAACAUCAAUUUCUUUUGUUGUAAAAGGGUAAGAGGAAGGUGGCUUACGCUUCGGCGUAAGUGUUUAUAGCCUUUUACCUCUGCAAUCGGAGAGAUUGAGGACAGCAGCGUAGACUCCUUCGGGGGUUAGAUACACUUGUGCUAAGCUAUAGCCUUGUAUAGACAACUUGUUGACUAUGCCCAGUCAUGUAGCUUACUCGCUUGUGCUAUUUUACCUACGCUUAGGAUGUUGACGCGCGUGUGUGCGUG